GCCAUAGUUCGCUGUUUGGAAACUGGUAGAUUGCCCCGUCCAGGUUGGGGGAGAGUCACUGCUCCAAGAGAAGGAGUUCAAGUAUCUCCGGGUCUUAUUCACGAGUGACGAUAUAAUGGAGCGUGAGAUGGAUCGGCGGGUUGGUGCAGCUUCUGCAGUGAUGCCGGUGCUCAGCCAGAAGGCAAAGCUUUCGAUUUACUGGUCCAUCUGCGCCCCAACCCUCACCUAUGGUCAUGAGCUCUGGGUAGUGACUGAAAGAAGGAGAUCACGGAUACAAGUGUCCAAAAUGAGUUUCCUCCGUAGGGUGUCUGGGCUCAGCCUAGAGAUAGGGUGAGGAACAUGGACAUCUGCUCCAUCAUGUUGAAAGGCGUCAGUUGAGGUGGUUCGGGCAUCUGAUCAGGAUGCCUCCUGUUAGAGAUGUUUCCGGCACAUCCCACCGAUAGGAGACCUCGGGGCAGACCCAGAACACGCUGAAGGGAUUAUAUAUCUCAUCUGGCCUGGGAACGCUUUGGGGUCGCCCAGGAGGAGCUGGAAAGGGUCACUGGGGAGAGAGACGUCUGGGGUGCUUUGCUCAGCCUGCUGCCCCCACGACCUGGCCUCGGACAAGCGAUUGAAAAUGGAUGGAUGGAAUAUCAUGAUCACCAUUUCUCAAUCAUGUGCAAUACCAUUUGUAGUUGUUAUAUCAUUCAAUAUAACAUUAUCUGGCGCAGUCUUUUUCCACCAUUUUAGUUCAUUCUCAGUAACUCAUGUACUGAUCUUACUCCUGUUGUUCUUCUAUUAGACACUGGAUUUCAUGUUGCUCCUUGAAAACACUUAUAACUUGUGUAUUUGUGCAGAUAUUUAACACUCUAUUGUUCUAAAACUGGACCCAGUGAGUGACCCUGAUUCAGGAACCCACUGGCUGUUAUUUAAUUUGUGUUAUGAAGCAUUCUCUGGCACAAGAAUUUCCUUUGGGAUACAUGUGAUAUUAACUUGAGUUGAAAGCAGCCACUAGGUGUCGCCCUCUGUGUAAAUAUCUCUCCCGGUGUUUUUUGUUUUCAGCUUUCGUUUCCUCCGGACUGUGUGAACCCCCUCUCUACUGUAUUUCUAGGAAUUGCACUUUUGGCAUGAAGUAAACAGUGAGUCACCUCUCACAGGCUGCUGGAGGCUGUAUGUGCUGCUUAUAGGAGCACUGUGAACAUCUGUGUGCAGAAAACAAGGGGUGGGGAUGCAGUGGGGAGCAGCUCAUGUUGAAGUUAGAGCAAACAGUGAUCAGAUGUCGCUUCUGUGUCCCAACACAUCUCACUCAACUGUUUCCCCCAACAAUAUUUCAGUAUUGAGAAACAACACAUGUAUUAAUGCGGCUCUGUGAUUGGCUGCGGCCGGUCUCUAGCUCAGCAGCGGGCCAAUCAGGAGCCGCUGUUGUUUGUGCAUCGCUGCUGCGCUGCUAUAAAGCGGCAGCAAUGAGGGAUGAGAGGAGAAACACAGAUCCAAAGACACUGAAGACACAUCCUGAGUGUGUGUUUCACCCCCGCUGCUGUGUGUGUGUGUCGUCGAGGGGCCGUUUGGACGCGCAGAGGCCGAGCUGAGUGAGGACAGAGCCGGUCCAUUGUCCCUGAAUCCAGCAGGCUCAGGCUCCAGCAGCCUCCCUCACCUCCAGUCGGGCCAGUGAAGUGCGACCUUCGACCCGACCAAGAUGGCUCCCACCCUGGCCACUGCUUUCUCCCGCCGCUGGUGGAUGGCGGUGACGGCGGUCAUCGAGAACCUGCUCUUCUCCGCCGUGCUGCUGGGCUGGGGUUCCCUGCUCAUCA
Long non-coding RNA from Epinephelus moara (kelp grouper), 1790 nucleotides. RefSeq lists it as uncharacterized. The record is from RefSeq and is a predicted model, not a curated record. The transcript has 3 exons. Lineage: Eukaryota; Metazoa; Chordata; Actinopteri; Perciformes; Serranidae.